GCGGGUAUAGCACAAUGGUAGUGCAGCAGCCUUCCAAGCUUUAGAAACGCCCAAUUUUCUGCG
RNAcentral lists this transfer RNA (63 nucleotides) under Sphingomonas koreensis. It matches the Rfam family "tRNA". From Rfam's summary of the family: Transfer RNA (tRNA) molecules are approximately 80 nucleotides in length. Their secondary structure includes four short double-helical elements and three loops (D, anti-codon, and T loops). The record is from Rfam by way of RNAcentral. Lineage: Bacteria; Pseudomonadati; Pseudomonadota; Alphaproteobacteria; Sphingomonadales; Sphingomonadaceae.